Molecule: non-coding RNA, 263 nt
Organism: Balearica pavonina (black crowned-crane)
Lineage: Eukaryota; Metazoa; Chordata; Aves; Gruiformes; Gruidae
Source: Rfam
GGUCUGUGAUGAAUAGUAAAAGGUAUGAUUAUCCUAAGACUUGCACUUCCAUGACCUUUUCUCCCAGCAGUUUCUCGCCAGUCCUGGCACAGUAGUGGCGUGGCUGGCAGAGUGUUUGCUGACAGCUUGUGAUGUGCUCAGUUCAUGUUCACCUGAAGUAUCAGAGACAUGACUAGGAUCAGCAUCCAACAGUCCUACUUGAAGGAGUUUGGGGUCUUGGACUGUUAGAACUGGAUUUGUGAUCUGACUUUUCUGCUGAGACC